UGCAAAUCAAUAUAAAUUGAAUUUAAAAUUUAUUUAUUAAUUUAUUUUUUUUUAAUUUUUAAUUUAUUUUUAUUAAAAAUAAUUAUACAAUUAAUUUGUUUUAGUAAUUAUUAAUGAAAAAAUAACUUUAAUUAUAGUUUAUUUGUAUUGUAAAAGGUUAUUGAAAUAUAUUGAAAAAUUUUUAUUGAAUAAGAAAAAUUUAAUUUUUGUACCUUGUGUAUCAGGGUUUAUUAAAUAAUUAAUAAUUAUUUUAUUAAUCUCGAUUUUAUAAGAGUUAAUAAUUUAUAAAAUUUAAUGUGUCAAAAUUAUUUUUAAUAAAUUGUUAGAAAUGAAAUGUUAUUCGUUUAUAAAUGUAUCUAGUUUUUUUAGAAAUAAAUUUAAUUUAUAAAUUUUUAAUUUAUUUAUUAAUUUUUAAAUAAAUAAAUUUUUUAAUUUAAGUAUUUUAAGGGAUAAGCUUUAAAAUAAAUUGUUAUAAAUAGAAUAAUUUAAAAAUUAAAAAUAUAUGCUUAGAAUUAGCAAUUAUUAUUAAUUUUGUUAAAAAUUAUUUAUUAAAAUAAUAAUAUUUAUUUAUAUUUUAAUUUUUUAUAAAAAUUUUUGUGAAAAUUUUAAUUAUAAAUUAAUAAUGAUAAAAUUAGUAUAUAAUAAAAUGUAAAAAUAAUUUUUAUUGAAAAUUUUAUAUAAAGAACUCGGCAAAUAUUUUACUCGCCUGUUUAACAAAAACAUGUCUUUUUGAGUUAAUUUUAAAGUCUAACCUGCCCAAUGAAAUUUUUAAUGGCCGCAGUAAAUUAACUGUGCAAAGGUAGCAUAANCAUUAGUCUUUUAAUUGAAGGCUUGUAUGAAUGGUUGGACGAAGUAUAANCUGUUUCAUAAAAAUUUAUAAUAGAAUUUUAUAUUUUAGUAAAAAAGCUAAAAUUGAAUUAAAAGACGAGAAGACCCUAUAAAUCUUAAUAGUUUUUAUAAUUUAAUUUUUAUGGAUUUUUUAAAAUUUAAUUAUAAAAAUUAUUUUAUUGGGGUGAUAUUAAAAUUUAAAAAACUUUUAAUUUAUUUAUUUCAUUUAUUUAUGAUUUAUUGAUCCUUUAUUAAUGAUUAAAAGAAUAAGUUACUUUAGGGAUAACAGCGUAAUUUUUUUGGAGAGUUCUUAUUGAUAAAAAAGUUUGCGACCUCGAUGUUGGAUUAAGAAAUAUUUUAGGUGUAGUUGCUUAAAUAAAUAAGUCUGUUCGACUUU
RNAcentral lists this ribosomal RNA (1225 nucleotides) under Euaresta bella. RNAcentral's name for it is "partial 16S ribosomal RNA". The record is from RNAcentral. Lineage: Eukaryota; Metazoa; Arthropoda; Insecta; Diptera; Tephritidae.